GAUGAACGCUGGCGGCGUGCUUAACACAUGCAAGUCGAACGAAGCACUCUAUUUGAUUUUCUUCGGAAAUGAAGAUUUUGUGACUGAGUGGCGGACGGGUGAGUAACGCGUGGGUAACCUGCCUCAUACAGGGGGAUAACAGUUGGAAACGACUGCUAAUACCGCAUAAGCGCACAGGAUUGCAUGAUCCGGUGUGAAAAACUCCGGUGGUAUGAGAUGGACCCGCGUCUGAUUAGCCAGUUGGCAGGGUAACGGCCUACCAAAGCGACGAUCAGUAGCCGACCUGAGAGGGUGACCGGCCACAUUGGGACUGAGACACGGCCCAAACUCCUACGGGAGGCAGCAGUGGGGAAUAUUGCACAAUGGGGGAAACCCUGAUGCAGCGACGCCGCGUGAGCGAAGAAGUAUUUCGGUAUGUAAAGCUCUAUCAGCAGGGAAGAAGAAUGACGGUACCUGACUAAGAAGCACCGGCUAAAU
Molecule: ribosomal RNA, 477 nt
Filed under: uncultured bacterium
Lineage: Bacteria
Description: bacterial SSU rRNA
Rfam family: Bacterial small subunit ribosomal RNA
Source: RNAcentral